GAAAUGUUCUAAAUUUUAAGUGUGCAUGCUUAACAAAAUCACCAGCAUUCGCAUUCAAAUAUUCUAGGUUUACAACAAGAAAAUUGUGUUUGAAUAUAUUAUAUUAGUCCAGAUUACUCUGACGUCCAACGGCUGUUUUGCCAGACAAGCUGGGGCCGUCCCAAAUCUCAGAGUAAUCUCGGAUUAAUAUUAUAUCAAUCUCAUACUUUCAUGACCUUUUUCUCCCAGAAACCCAAAUGGUCCGACCCCUAUGCAGAUGACCUAUACACACCUGAACUCUUAGGUCCACAAAUUUUCAAAUCAAUUACAUGAAUGAUAGAAGUACCAUGAGCUAUGCCUAUGCAUUGCCUAUGGUUACAUGUAUAUUUCA
This 370-nucleotide long non-coding RNA is filed under the name Mytilus galloprovincialis (Mediterranean mussel). The record is from RNAcentral. Lineage: Eukaryota; Metazoa; Mollusca; Bivalvia; Mytilida; Mytilidae.